UAGGGAAUCUUCCACAAUGGACGCAAGUCUGAUGGAGCAACGCCGCGUGAGUGAAGAAGGUUUUCGGAUCGUAAAGCUCUGUUGUUGGUGAAGAAGGUUAGAGGCAGUAACUGGUCUUUAUUUGACGGUAAUCAACCAGAAAGUCACGGCUAACUACGUGCCAGCAGCCGCGGUAAUACGUAGGUGGCAAGCGUUGUCCGGAUUUAUUGGGCGUAAAGCGAGCGCAGGCGGAAUGAUAAGUCUGAUGUGAAAGCCCACGGCUCAACCGUGGAACUGCAUCGGAAACUGUCAUUCUUGAGUGCAGAAGAGGAGAGUGGAAUUCCAUGUGUAGCGGUGGAAUGCGUAGAUAUAUGGAAGAACACCAGUGGCGAAGGCGGCUCUCUGGUCUGCAACUGACGCUGAGGCUCGAAAGCAUGGGUAGCGAACAGG
This 429-nucleotide ribosomal RNA is filed under the name bacterium. RNAcentral describes it as "partial 16S ribosomal RNA". It matches the Rfam family "Bacterial small subunit ribosomal RNA", at positions 355 to 776 of the family's 1533-position model. The record is from RNAcentral.